RNAcentral lists this ribosomal RNA (362 nucleotides) under uncultured bacterium. Its description in RNAcentral is "partial 16S ribosomal RNA". It matches the Rfam family "Bacterial small subunit ribosomal RNA", at positions 338 to 717 of the family's 1533-position model. The record is from RNAcentral.
CCUACGGGUGGCAGCAGUGGGGAAUAUUGCACAAUGGGGGAAACCCUGAUGCAGCGACGCCGCGGGAGGGAAGAAGGAAUUCGGGAUGGAAAGCUCUAUCAGCAGGGAAGAAAAUGACGGUACCUGAGUAAGAAGCCCCGGCUAACUACGUGCCAGCAGCCGCGGUAAUACGUAGGGGGCAAGCGUUAUCCGGAUUUACUGGGGGUAAAGGGAGCGUAGACGGCAGAGCUAGUCUGGAGGGAAAGGCGGGGGCUCAACCCCCGGACUGCUCUGGAAACGGUCCGGCGGGAGUGCAGGAGCGGUAAGUGUACUUCCUCGUGUAGCGGUUACAUGCGUAGAUCUUAGGCGGCACCCCAGUGGCG